CCCAUGUGCCAUGAUAAGGAUGAUCAGCACUAUGUCACUCGACUGCUGGUAUAGAAGGAAAAACCAUAACUAGACGCCCUAGUCACAUUUUCGGCGGGAUCCAAAGUCUCAAAAAGUACCCGUCGAUCGUCUCCGACUUCCCUUCAGAUUAUAAUUUUGAGGAUCUAUAUUCAAGCUGUCUUCAUUUAAGCUGCCUAAUGGCGGUUGAGAGAAUUCUUAAAGAUGAAGCUAGUGAAGAAAAAGGAGAGCGUGCCAGAAUGGUGAGUUUUGUACUGGUUUGCAUGGUAACCUUGAUGCACGCGUUAAGUGAUUCAUCAAAGAAUAAUGUAUAUCACUCACAAAAUUGUGAGAAAGUAACUUGUCUACAUUAGUUAUUUUCCCUGCUAUUUUACUAAAUGAUGCUUCUAUUACAUUCUGUCCAUCAUAAUUUGAAUAUUUCCUUUUUAAGGCAUCAUUUGUUGGUGCAAUGGCAAUUGCUGACUUGGUCAAGACAACGUUAGGACCAAAAGGGAUGGACAAAAUUUUGCAGUCAACAGGCAGAGGACGUGAAGUUACUGUUACAAAUGAUGGGGCCACCAUCUUAAAGUCCCUUCAUAUUGAUAACCCAGCUGCUAAAGUUCUAGUUGGUAUCCUUUCAUUGCUUCUCUGUCUUGUAUACAUUGUGGCUCUUGUAGUUUUCUUUUCAUGAUUUUUGUAAGUGAAUGAGUUAAAGUCUAUGUAAGUUGGGGUGCCUAUGAUUUAUUUGAACUUAUUGCUUGUAGAAGAAGGUGGGGAUUUUGUUGACAAAGACCUCUCUUUCUCUUGCAAUCAAUUGCUGUCUUUAUACAAAUAUUUACAUUUUGACUGAAGCAUAGCCUAAUUGCUAUCCUGUCCUUUCCUGUAAACAAGAAAUAAAAAGUUGAAAAUGGUACUGAAUAUACUGCAGCUAGCCAUGCCAGAAAAUUGUUAAAAAUCAUCGAUAAUUUUGAUGGCAAUCAUAACUUGAUGGAAAUCAUUAUUUCGUUGGUCAGACAUUUCAAAAGUUCAAGAUGAUGAAGUUGGUGAUGGAACAACUUCUGUUGUUGUUUUGGCUGGGGAGCUUUUGAGGGAGGCAGAAAAGCUGGUGGCCGCAAAGAUUCACCCAAUGACAAUAAUUGCAGGUUAUCGAAUGGCAGCAGAAUGUGCUCGCAAUGCUUUGUUGCAAAAAGUUGUGGACAACAAAGAGAAUGAAGAAAAAUUCAAGCUGGACUUGAUGAAGAUUGCAAUGACCACUUUGAGUUCCAAAAUUUUAUCACAGGAUAAGGAACAUUUUGCAAAACUAGCUGUGGAUGCUGUUUUGAGGCUAAAGGGUAGUACAAACUUAGAGUCUAUUCAAAUUAUCAAGAAGCCUGGGGGUUCACUGAAGGAAUCUUUCUUGGAUGAAGGAUUUAUUCUUGACAAAAAAAUAGGUAUUGGGCAACCAAAGCGCAUAGAGAAUGCAAAGAUUUUGGUGGCAAAUACUGCAAUGGACACAGACAAAGUAAAGAUCUAUGGUGCGCGUGUUCGUGUUGAUUCAAUGUCUAGGGUUGCAGAUAUUGAAGCAGCUGAGAAGCAAAAAAUGAGAGAAAAGGUGGAUAAGAUAAUAGCUCAUGGGAUUAACUGCUUUGUAAACAGGCAAUUGAUUUACAAUUUCCCAGAGGAACUUUUUGCUAAUGCUGGAAUACUUGCAAUUGAGCAUGCUGAUUUUGAUGGAAUUGAACGUCUCGCUUUAGUAACUGGUGGUGAAAUUACAUCAACCUUUGAUAAUCCUGAGUCAGUUAAGCUUGGGCACUGCAAGCUUAUCGAGGAAAUCAUGAUUGGUGAGGACAAGUUGAUCCACUUCUCUGGUGUUGCAAUGGGUCAGGCAUGUACUAUUGUACUGAGAGGUGCAAGCCAUCAUGUGCUUGAUGAGGCAGAAAGAUCUCUCCAUGAUGCCUUGUGUGUGCUGUCUCAGACAGUCAAUGACAGUAGGGUUUUGCUUGGUGGUGGAUGGCCCGAGAUGGUGAUGGCAAGGGAUGUGGAUGAGCUGGCUCGAGUAACUCCGGGGAAGAAGUCCCAUGCUAUUGAAGCAUUCUCAAGGGCACUUGUUGCAAUUCCAACUAUCAUUGCAGAUAAUGCUGGUUUAGACAGUGCUGAACUUGUAGCACAGCUCCGAGCAGAGCACCAGAAGGAGGGUUGCGCAGCAGGGAUUGAUGUUAUCACUGGAUCUGUGGGAGAUAUGGCUGAGCUCGGCAUUUCUGAAGCUUUUAAAGUUAAGCAGGCCAUAUUACUCUCUGCAACUGAGGCUGCUGAAAUGAUUCUCAGAGUGGACGAAAUCAUUACUUGUGCCCCAAGAAGGAGAGAAGACAGAAUGUGAAAUCUAGGACGUUUUUUCUGGACAAGGACAUUUGUUGUAAUGCUCUCGGUUUUCUUGGCAUUUGCAAGGCAUCAGUACCGCAUUGAUAUUAAUUUCACCGAGGAUUCCUCGUGAUUUUUUUGAGCUUCAGUUGUGUUCCGGAAACGCAGCCAUUGUUACCGAAUUCUUGCAUUUUGGAAUUAAUAGCAAUUAUAUCUCGAGUGUUUUAUGAUGCAUAGUGCAUGAUAGGCCAAAAUUGGUGAUAUCUUAAUUCUGAUUCUGCUGAAUGGCGCGUACGACCUAGUUAUGGCUCUCUGAGUUGUGAAAUUGUUCUACGUGUAACUCGUUAUUUUAAGGUGCUAGUUCAGUGGUCAGACUCUUUAAUUUUAUGACUUUUAUUUUGUAUAUUGAUGCGGAAUCGGCCAUGGUACGGAUUGAAAUUUAUUAAAAUCAAGUUGGUUAAAGUGGAUAUUGAAUUGAAUCAAAUCAAAAUUGAAACUUAAAAUGGGUGCUGAGGGAUUUUAUGAUUUGGUUUAAGGGGUG
RNAcentral lists this unclassified non-coding RNA (2875 nucleotides) under Hevea brasiliensis (rubber tree). The record is from RNAcentral. Lineage: Eukaryota; Viridiplantae; Streptophyta; Magnoliopsida; Malpighiales; Euphorbiaceae.